GGUGAACGCUGGCGGCGUGCCUAACACAUGCAAGUCGAGCGGUGCAGUUUGAAGCUUCGGUGGAAAGCUGCAUAGCGGCGGACGGGUGAGGAAAACGUAGGAACGUGCCCCUUGGAGUUGGAUAGCCACGGGAAACUGUGGGUAAACCGACAUAGACUCGAGAGAGUAAAGGCCGAAAGGCGCCAAGGGAGCGGCCUGCGGCCCAUCAGGUAGUUGGUAGUGUAAAGGACUACCAAGCCGACGACGGGUAGCCGGUCUGAGAGGAUGGCCGGCCACAAGGGCACUGAGAGACGGGCCCUACUCCUACGGGAGGCAGCAGUGGGGGAUUUGGACAAUGGGCGAAAGCCUGAUCCAGCGACGCCGCGUGGAGGACGAAGCCCUUCGGGGUGUAAACGUCCUUUUCUCAGGGAAAAAGGAUGAUGGUACCUGAGGAAUAAGCCCGGCUAACUACGUG
This 454-nucleotide ribosomal RNA is filed under the name uncultured bacterium. RNAcentral describes it as "bacterial SSU rRNA". It matches the Rfam family "Bacterial small subunit ribosomal RNA", at positions 28 to 507 of the family's 1533-position model. The record is from RNAcentral.